Molecule: long non-coding RNA, 9315 nt
Filed under: Vitis vinifera (wine grape)
Lineage: Eukaryota; Viridiplantae; Streptophyta; Magnoliopsida; Vitales; Vitaceae
Description: long non-coding RNA (VVIN_LNC000098)
Source: RNAcentral
UAAAAUAUAUGAUCAUUACAAAUCCAAGCAUAAAGCUAAAAAACCAAAUAAGAGAAAAUUUUAGAGUAAUGAGAUAAAAUUGAAAUUUUUUUAAUGCACAUUAUAUUAAUUAUAUGUGUAGUACUAAGGAGAUGAGUCGUUUUACUUUUGAGGUGAACCUUGGGAAAUGAUAUAAUAAUGCUAUUACGUUUGAUUGCAUAGUCGUUUUACAACAUUUCCAAAAAAAUUUACUAAGAAAUAUAAAGUAUACACUUCGAAAUUUUUAAGAAAAAUGAAGAGUUAUUUUAAAAUGUUUGAUAGUAAAAUUAUGGUACAGGUAGACUGGUGGCAGGGAACACUAUUUCUUUGUGGGCUGGGGCAAGAACCUCUUGGCUAGAGAUUCUACCUCUCCGCACACCAGCUUAUAUGAACUACUUUUUGGCAUUGAUUGACGACAUUUGCUUUAUGGGGAAAAAAAUUUAUGAGCAGAGCCAUCUCAAAACUUUGGAUAUUCAACUGGACGUGAGAAAAAGAGUAUACAAUUAUUCAAAGUUGACGAGCUAUUCAUUGGGGAUUGCCCUCCCCUAAAUUCCUUCCCACGUUUAUCAAAUGGUAAUUGAUCACAAAAAGGUUCAAUUCAUUCACAAAUAUGACUCUUCUCUAGUCAAUUGGGAGUGGCGCUCAGCCAUACUCAUUUUAAUCAGAAUUGAAUCUCCUCAUCCCACAGUUCCACGAGAGACCUGUAGGGGCCUUCAUCGCUAAUGAAUUCCAGAGCUGGAACCCCUUUAAAUUGCUGAAUUUGAUCUAUUUUCUGUAUAUCCUCCGCUGUUAGCUCCCAAUCGAAUAUCGCUAGAUUCUCUUUCAUUCUUUCCUUGUUGAAACUCUUCACGACAACACUCACACCUUGUUCGUAUAUCCACCUCAAACAAACCUUCAAAAUCAACACGACCAAAUUCAAAUUGUGGCAAAAACAAUCACCACCAAGUUAAACAAAUCAGUUUUUUUUUUUUUUUGAAAAAAUAAAUUAUGAUCAUGGAGGCCAAGAAAAAAGCACAUUGGAUACCCAGACUUUGUGGGGUAGCUUUUGGAUUCUCAAUCAACACAUACUAUAUCUCCACCGCAACAUUUAAGAAAAAGCAUAUCUUUAUGUCAUUGGUUUUGCAUUAACAGAAGCAGUCCCAUCAAGAUAUGAAAAAGGAAAAAAGAUAGACAAAAUAAAAUAAAAUCUACCAUCAAUUGAUGCAUCCAGUAAAUAUGAAUUGCGAAAAAGGGUCAACUUGUUAGUGAGUUUCAGCCGAACCAGUUAUUCCUAAUUGGAAAAUUUGGAAGGAACUGAUGUAGAAGAAAGCAAGAAGCUGUUGGAUUAUGUCCUUUCAAUCUUUAUGGCAGCACUUCUAUUAUAUACUUAAAAAUGGCAAUUUUUAUGGCUCGAGAAUUUUACCUGAGCAAUCGUUUUGCCUCUUGCUUGGGCAAUUUCUUUCAGGACUUGACAUUCCAUAACUCUGUCACCUCCCCACGGUGUUCCUCUGGCACCCAAAGGAGAGUAGGCCGUGAUGUGGAUUCCUUUCUCUGUACAGAACUCCCUAAGCUUCUUCUGCUGCCAAAGUGGGUUCAUCUCCACCUUCCCAAACAGUUGUUAUGAUUAGUGGUUUUUUUCUUAAAAAGAUUAGUCGAUUUGUUUAUUUCUUGAUACACCCAUGCUUCUCAUCUUAUAAAAAGUUCAACUAUAUGAAAGGAAAAUUCAAUGUUACUGAAGCACAACACUUCCGGCAGAGCUGCCUGAAAUGAAACACUCACUUGAUUGACGGCCGGAGGGAUUGUGGCUAUGCGGAGCAAGUCAUCAAGCUUUUUGCUUGAGAAGUUGCUUACACCUAUUGCUUUGGUGAGACCGAGCUUCUGACAGUCUUCCAGGUCUUUCCAAACGGACGCAUAAUCCAUGGGGAGAAGGUCCUCCUUCUUCACGGGAAACUCAAAAUUUCCAGGCUUCAUGCUUAGUGGCCAAUGAAUGAGAUAGAGAUCAAGGUACUCCAGUUCAAGAUUCCUACAUAAACCAAACCCAAAAUGAAAAAUUAAUAGAGAAGAAAGAUCAAAUAUGCGAAGUAAUUGAUGGUAUAGCUAGAGAAAAGAAUAUGAUAAGAAGUGUUUGGUUUAUUACUUGAGUGUUUGUUGCAGUGUAGGAAGGACGCAGUGGGGGUGUGCUUUGUUUCCCCAAAGCUUUGACGUGACAAAAAGCUCAUCCCGCGAAUUAAUGAGCCCAAUCUGUAAAGCCUUUUUUAUGGCUUCACCAAGGGGUUUCUCGGAGUUGUAAACAGAAGCUGUGUCGAAGUGUCGAUAGCCAACCUUUAUUGCAUGGAGAACAGAGUCUUUCGUUUCCGAAGGGGCAGAACGAUACACAGCUGUGCCCAUGCCCACCAGAGGUAUGGCUUUUCCUGUUGAUCCCAGGGCCUUCUCCGGAAUGCUUCCCAUUUUCUCUACUCUAUCUCGUGAAAAUUAUCACUUCCUCUGAGAUCUAUAUAUAUAGGCAUAUAAUUCCCAAACCAUCAGUAUCCGUUCCUAUCACAUACUAGCAGCGCAUCAGUCUUAAAAAUUAAUCAAUACUUACCGUUGAAUGACCAACACUAUCUGACGACCGCAGUGAUCUCACACAUUUUGGAUUAUUCAUACAUGGCCGCUAAGUCACCACAGCAGUUGCAAUCCUGUUAGGCGCAAUGACCAUUUUAUUUUCUCUUUCGUACGUAGGUGGCCUUUUAUGUUGGGCGCCCUCGUAUGUGAGGGAGUAGGCCCAUAUGUUGGGAUCAAGUCAGUUACAUUAAAAAAAACCGGAGACAAGAGAAGAGAAGAAAAAUGCUAUUUGCUCAAAUUUCAUCAAUAAGUCGAUCUCGCUUCAUCUGUUGUCUAAUCAAAUUAAAAUUUGGAGGAAAGGUUUAAAACUCAAGUAUCUACAAUUUGAACGGUGGAGAUCAGAUUUUGAAUUCGAAAAAUUGAUGUUAUUGCCCAUAAACAGUAACGACGUUUUUAGUAUACUUCCUCUAAUUUUUCUUUAUUUUUGUCAAAAGAAAUUAUAUAAUCCAAGGCUAUAUGUGAUUUUGAUGUAUUUGAUAAUCUUUAAAUAUUAUUCUAAAAAAGACAGAUGUAACUCAUUAUUGUUAAUAAUGGAUGUUUGAAUUGGAAUAAAUCCCGUAAUUUUUUCUUUCAAAUUGGGGGGUUUUCCAUGUAAAAAUUUUGAUGUCUAAUUUAUUUUCUUGUUACAUGAAUUUAUUUAUUUAUUACUGUUAAUUGAUAUUGCCUAUUUAGUUUUACCUAAAGAAAUGAUAGAAAAAUUACGAUGUUUAUUGAAAUGAUAGAAAAAUUACGAUGUUUAUUGAAAUACUGUCAAUUCACCCUAACAUUUUAAUUGCUUAGUUUAUUCAGAAAAAGUUCACGGCUUUACUUGCAUUGCACAGAACACUCAAUCAUUUUGUCAUCGGCCCCACCCCAUAAUAAUAAUAAUAAUAACCAAUGCUCAUUACAUUUCCAACUUGUAAGUGGACGGAGUCAAGAUUAAGAGAAAGUGAUGUAUCAGAUACUGGCUCCGGGUUGAAGAUACAACGAUCCACCUCCUCAGCUAGUAUUGGAAAAUCAUGAAAGCUUUUAAAUGGCCGUAAUAAAGUGGAGAUAAAUGAUGAUUCCUUGCACGUUUAUGUAUAAAAUUUAUUUUUAAAAAAAGCAUUAACCACACCUACCAAAAAUCUUUUUAUUCAAAAUCUUUCUAAAAAAAUAAAUAUAUAUUAAAUAAUGAAAUAAUUGUGUUUUGAAUCUAAUUGAGCCCAAAAAUUAAGAUUUGGUCCAUAAAAAUUGUAUAAUUGAUGAAAAAGAUAUAAAAUGUGAAGAGACCAAUAUACCAUUCAAAACUAUUUUGAGUAUUUUUUAUCACAAUGUUUGAUAAACUUUUUUAUCUUAAUUUUUUUUAAUAAUUAUUUUGAAAAUUUAUUAUUUUUAGAAAACUAUUUUUUAAAAAAAAUAUAUUCUAAAAAUAUAUCAUUUAAAAAAAUAAUUUUGACAUACUUUUAGUUAUUUUUUAUAUACAUAAUUUUAAAUAUAUAUUUUCCAAGAUGUUUAAUUUUUAAAUAAUAAUAAUAAUUUAUUUUUAUUUUUUUGGAAAAUGAUGUAUUUUUUUCCAAAUCACUAAAUUAAAUUAAAUUUUAUUAAGGUUUAUAAAAGGAAUAAAAUUUAAAUUAAUGUUUUUCUACUCUUUUUUUUUUCAUAGUCAAUAAAUAUCAUUUUUGAAAAGAUAAAAAGUUCAUAUCUUUGUUCUCAAUUUUCACACUUUCUCUAAGUCUUGGGCUUAAAUGGUGAACUUAUAUGGACCAAAACUUAAUUUUUAGGCCCAAUUAGAUCCAAAACACAAUUGUCCCUUGAAUAAUUUAUUAAAGUAUCAAUCCAUGAAAAUCAAUCAUUGUUAAAUGUAUUUACAGCAACAUCUUUAAAAUAUAAAUAUAAUAAUUGGAAUAAAUUUAUUAAAGCCUCAAUUGAUAAAAAUAAACCGUGGUUAGAUGUAUUUAUUCCAAAUCUCUAUGAAUAAAAAUAAUCUUAAUUUUUUUAUGCUUUAAGGGAUUUGAAAAAACAAAAGGAGGUAAAAAAUAAAUGGUAAAGUUGUAUGGGAACAUUGUAAAAUUUUGAUUAGUAGUCACCACAAUGAGAGUUGGUUAGCUUUCCCAAGUAUUGGCCAAGGUGGUUCUUAACUAGGAGGAAUUUAAUUCUGUGUGAUUUUGAAAGUUGGAAUCCAUCUUUAUAAGGUUGUGGAAAUGCUUAGAAACCUAAGAUAUAAUUUGGGUAUAUUUUAUUUGUGAAAAAAUUGAGGUAAAAUAUAAAGGAAAAAAAUAUUGGAAAAAAAGAAAAAAAGAAAAAGUGAAUAAAGAAAAUAAAAUAUAGAAUUAAAGUUAAUACAUUAUUUUUGUAUAUUACUUUAAAUUUAUUUUACCUAUUUUAAUUUUUCUACACAAAAAUUAAAUAAUUUAAAAAUACCUAAAAUUUUAAUUUAUUUUAAUUAUAUUUGAUUUCUUUUAAUAUUUUUUUUAUUUGAUAACUAAACAUAAGAAAAUAAUUUUCCUUAGGAUUUUUUUUUCUUUCCAAUCAAAUAUAACCUUAAUAAAGCUUUUAAAAGCAAUUUUCAAAUAUAUUUUUUAGAAUGGUUCUUUAAAUUAAAUAAUUCUCCAUUAUUUCUUUAUAUACAAUACAAAAGUCGUAAAAUAUUCUCCAUAUUUUCAAUUAUUUCUCAUAAUAUUUUAUAAAAAUAAACAUUCAAUUUAUUCCAAAGAAACAAGAUACUUGUAGAAUAAAUUAUGAAAAAUUUAUUUUCAAUUAAAAAUUUAUUGAAGGUGUUUUUUGAGUUGGAAAUUGUUUUAAAUUAUUUUCAAAAACAAUAUUCAAAUAAGGUCCAAGUGCAUGAACAAUAACAUCAACAUUGAGAUUCAAAAUUAGAAAUUUGAUAUUGAGUAUUAAUUUAGUUCUGACAUUAAUAAAAAUUCAAGGAGCUUUCUAAGGAUUGCAAAGGAUGAUGUGAAAAUAACCCGCACAUUUGGAAAUUAUAAGUAUUAUAACUAAAUGUUAAAAAUAAAACAAAUUUAUUGGAAGGCAAUUGGCCACAUAAUAUGAAAAUAUCGUUUCAUGUGCACAAUUCCAUUCCCAAUAACAAUUUUAAUCAUACUUAACAAAAUAAUUAAAAUAAAAUUUAAGAGUUUUCUAUAUAUAUAUAUAUAUAUAUAUAGUAGAAUUGUUUUAGACCAAAAAAUAUUUUACAACCACCCAUAUUUUAUAUAUAAUAUAGAGUAUAGGUAUAGAUUUUUUCCCUUUUGAAAUUAUAUUUAAUCAACAGCUAUAUUAAUAAUCAAAAUAGUUAACAUAUUUUAAAAAAAAAUGUUGAAUAAACUUUAGCAAUAUGUUUGAAAAAAAAAAUAUUAAUAUUCAAUUUUUUUUUAAAAAAAUUAUAAUUAUAAUUCAUAUUGAAAAAAAUAAGGUUAAUUGAAGAGUUAUGCUCAAACAUUUUUAGCAAUUAUAUUUAUUUUUCAAUGGUACUCUUUCAAAAAAAAUUUAUUCUCAUGCAUUACUAAGUUAAAAUAUAUUAAAAGAAAUAAAUCUUUAGGCCAAUCUUUAUAUAGAGAGUUUCCUAUUAGUACUUGAAUUUAACUUUAAAAAUUUUAAACAUUUAAAUAAUAAAUUUGUUGUAUACUUCCAACCCAUUUAAUAUUUAUUAACAUUUUACAAGUCUUAUUUAUGGUGAACCAAAAAUUGUUUUUAAUAUUCAUUAAUGAUUUAGUUUAAAACCCUAUUUUUAUUUUACGAAAAAAAUAAAAAAAUUGAGAUCAAAUAUUUGUAAAAUAUCUAUAGAAACUACUAAUACUGGAAGCAUCAUUACCUACAUUGUAAUUAUUUAUUAUUCCCAUAUAUUUAUAUAUAAAUAGUUUUAUAACUCCUAUUGAUUUAUUCUUUUUACUUCUCAAUAAUUAUUACCUACUUUGCAAAAAUAUUCUUCUCUGAAAUUCUUUCUUUUCUCUUACUAUAUGGGCAAACAAAAAAAUAUUUAUUAUUCCUCCCACCAGUCUUUCUCUUCAAUUUUUUCAUUGUUGUCUCAAUGUUUAAAUACACUCCAAUUGUCUUAAAAAAAACUGUGAUAAAAAACCAAUAUUUAACUUACAAGAUGAAUCCAAAAUGUACUAUGAUGCUACACAUAGGUAUCAUGAACAAUAUGAGACUAGACCUAAGGACAUAUGAAACUCCUUUUACUAAAAAAGAAUCAAUCAAAGCCUCAUACAUUACCUACCUCCUUUUACUAAAAAGGAAUCAAUCGAAAAACAUUCUCUACCUAAUCAUUGGGAUGGUAUAAAGUUUGCUAUGGAAUAAAAGAUUAAACCAAGAAAAGUGAAUUUUUUUUUUUUUCAUGUAGCUUGUGAGCUUGAACUAGUAGAGGGAUGACCUAUUUUUGAUAUGUCCAAAGUGAAUUGUUACAUUAUUAAUACAUAUCAAUAAAUUUAAAUCUUUAUAAUGCAAGACACAAGAGAAAGGAUUGUGGUUAAGGAAGGUUGGACUUCAAGAAGUGCAAAAACAAAUGAAGUUCUCCAUAAAAAAUUUAAAAUAAUAGAAGCUAACAGAAAAUGUUUAAGUAACUCUAAGUUGUUGUCAUCGGGUUUUCCUAUGAUAGAUAACUAUGUUUUUACACAUAUUUUUCAUGCAUGUACUCUAGCCUUAAUGAUUUAUUUUUUGUUGAAUUUUAGUGUAAUUAAUUUUCAUGUUAUUGAUUCUUCUCUUUUUCUAUCUUAAAGAAAAAAAAUUAUAUUUGUGUAUAAAAGAGAAAUAAUAGAGUCAUGACUCAUUUUAAACCAUUUUUAAUAUAUUAUUUUUUGGUACAUAGUUCUGUUUUUGAGUUUCAAUUAUUUUCAAAAAUUGCUAUACUCGUUCAAAAAAAUCUAAAACCUUAAAUUUCACUUGAUUUAAAGAGUAUGAUUUUAUCUCAUCCCAUCCAUAUUAUAUAUAAUAUUAAAUAAAAAAUAUUUUAUUUUAUAUAGACAUAUAGUAAAAGAAAUAUUUUCAUAAAAAUAAAGUAUACAAAUUUAUAAUAUUAAUUUAUUUAUAAAUAAUAUUUAUUUUUUAUAUAUUAAAAAUAAAAAAAUGUUUUUUUUAAAACCGAACUAGUGAUCAAAUCGAAAAAAUUAUCAAUUCACAGUUCACAAGUCGAAUCCGUGACAUUAUAAAUAUAUAUUUUAUAUAUUAUUAAAAUUAAAAAUAAUUAUAAAAAAUAAAAAUAAUAAAUUCUACUAAGUCAUCCUAUAUCAUAUUUCUAAUACAAUGAUAAUAUAAAUCAAUAUAACACUUUUAUCAAAAAAUUACUAUCCUAUAUCCACAAAUGCUCAAUAAACUAACAAUGAUAAAAAUUAUUUAAAAAUUAGAAAAUUAGUUUCAAAUAAUAAAUUUAGAUUAAAAUAGGAAUUUUAAUUUAAAAUUAGAAAGAUUAAUUUAAAAUUUAAAAUUUUAUUUUUAAAUCAUAAACUUAUUUUAAAAUAAAAAAUUAUUUAUUUAAAAUAUAAGGACACUUUAUUUUCAAAAAUUUAUUUAAUAUUUUCAUUAAUUUAGAUUAAAAGCAUAAAUUUUAAAAAUCAUAAAGUCAAAAGAAUUACAAAUGUAAAAAUUACAAUAAAUAAGGAAACGAGGAAAUAAGGUAAUAGAGUAAAAGAUCUAAAUCAUAAAGUCAAAAGAAUUACAAAUCUAAAAAUUAAGGUAAAUAAGGAAAUAAGGUAAUAGAAUAAAAGAAAUAAACAAAAAUCGGACUUAUGCCCGUCGGAGCGGCCUCGUAGGUCGGCGAUGUCGCGUUGGCUGGGCUGGAGGUGGGAGUUUGACGGGAGCAAUAGCACGCGAGCUGGAAAUGGUGGGGUUGGUUUGUGGAGUCCGGUGGACUGUUUUGGUGUGGGAGGGGGCUACGAUUGCGGAGGGGAGAACGAGCUGCGAGGCAACGACUGAGGGGUGGUUUGUGGAGUCUUGUGGACUGUUUUGCUGUGGGCAGGGCAACAACUGUUUUGGGGAGGGGGGUGGUGUGGAGGGGAGAGAACGGGCUGGAAAAAGUGGGCGGGGCAACGAUUAUGGGAGAGGGAAAACAGGUUGGAAGAACGAAAAAGAAAGGGAAGGCAAAAAACAAAAAGUAAAAUUUUCAUUUCAACCGUUCUAUUCAUCAAAAACCACAAAAACCAAUCGGGUCAACUGGAUCACCGAUUUGACUGUCGGUAGUCGGUACCAGUGAUUUGAGGCUGGUUUAGAGGCUGGCCGGUUCAAAAGGGUGAAUCGAGACCGGACUGGUGACCAACUGACAGUCAGAUAAGUUGGACCCGUUGAUCCGAUCCGAUUUUUAAAACGCUAAAAAAAAUUCACAACAUUUUCAAAAAAUUACAAAGAAAUAUAAAAGAUACACUAAGAAAUUUUUAAGAAAAAUGAGGAGCUAUUUUAAAAUAUUUGAUAAUAAAAGUAUGGUACAGGUAGAGUGGUGGCUGGGAGAACUAUUUCUGUGCUAAAGGGGAACCUCUUGGCUAGAUAUUCCACCUCUCCUAGCACCGGCUUAUAUGAGCUAUUUUUUGGCAUUGAUUGACGACAUUUGCUUUAUGGGGAAAAAAAUUUAUGAGCAGAGCCAUAUGAAAAUUAUGGAUGUUCAAUUAGCUGUGAGAAAAAGAGCACACAAUCAUUCAAAGGUGACGAGCUAUUCAUUGGGGAUAGCCCUCCUCUAAAUUUCUUCCCAAUUUUAUCAAAUAGUAAUUGAUCGAUCACAAAAGGUUCAAUUCAUUCACAAAUAUAACUAGCUAUUUUCAAGUCAAUUGG